UGGCUCCAAAAACAUACUAGUUCCCUUGUAUAAUUCCAAAUUUGAAAUUUGAUUUAACGUAACUCACCCAAAAAAAACUGAAAAACUUUUAAUUUUCGUUAAUAAUUAUUCAAGUGUGUUGAUUUUGGGUUUUGGCUAUUAAAUCCCCGACUUUCAAUUAUACAAAAAAAAAAAAAAAUCUAACUUUAGUUUUGGUACAAUAAAUACCAUAUUACUUUUAGCAAAUGGAAACAUAAACUUAUACUAUCUCUUUCAUUUGGC
This 261-nucleotide long non-coding RNA is filed under the name Capsella rubella. Its description in RNAcentral is "long non-coding RNA (CRUB_LNC004334)". Lineage: Eukaryota; Viridiplantae; Streptophyta; Magnoliopsida; Brassicales; Brassicaceae. The record is from RNAcentral.